AUUGAACGCUGGCGGAAUGCUUUACACAUGCAAGUCGAACGGCAGCACGGGGGCAGCCCUGGUGGCGAGUGGCGAACGGGUGAGUAAUACAUCGGAACGUGCCCGGUCCUGGGGGAUAACGUAGCGAAAGUUACGCUAAUACCGCAUACGAUCUGAGGAUGAAAGCGGGGGACCUUCGGGCCUCGCGCGAUCGGAGCGGCCGAUGUCAGAUUAGGUAGUUGGUGGGGUAAAGGCCUACCAAGCCGACGAUCUGUAGCUGGUCUGAGAGGACGACCAGCCACACUGGGACUGAGACACGGCCCAGACUCCUACGGGAGGCAGCAGUGGGGAAUUUUGGACAAUGGGCGCAAGCCUGAUCCAGCCAUUCCGCGUGCAGGACGAAGGCCUUCGGGUUGUAAACUGCUUUUGUACGGAACGAAAAGGCUCUGGCUAAUACCUGGGGCUCAUGACGGUACCGUAAGAAUAAGCACCGGCUAACUACGUG
RNAcentral lists this ribosomal RNA (484 nucleotides) under uncultured bacterium. Its description in RNAcentral is "partial 16S ribosomal RNA". It matches the Rfam family "Bacterial small subunit ribosomal RNA", at positions 30 to 507 of the family's 1533-position model. The record is from RNAcentral.